AUUGAACGCUGGCGGCAUGCUUUACACAUGCAAGUCGAACGGCAGCGCGGGGCAACCUGGCGGCGAGUGGAGAACGGGUGAGUAAUAUAUCGGAACGUACCCAGAAGUGGGGGAUAACGUAGCGAAAGUUACGCUAAUACCGCAUACGAUCUACGGAUGAAAGUAGGGGACCGCAAGGCCUUAUGCUUUUGGAGCGGCCGAUAUCUGAUUAGCUAGAUGGUGAGGUAAAGGCUCACCAAGGCGACGAUCAGUAGCUGGUCUGAGAGGACGACCAGCCACACUGGAACUGAGACACGGUCCAGACUCCUACGGGAGGCAGCAGUGGGGAAUUUUGGACAAUGGGCGCAAGCCUGAUCCAGCAAUGCCGCGUGAGUGAAGAAGGCCUUCGGGUUGUAAAGCUCUUUUGUCAGGGAAGAAACGGUAGAGGCUAAUAUCCUUUGCUAAUGACGGUACCUGAAGAAUAAGCACCGGCUAACUACGUG
Molecule: ribosomal RNA, 482 nt
Filed under: uncultured bacterium
Lineage: Bacteria
Description: partial 16S ribosomal RNA
Rfam family: Bacterial small subunit ribosomal RNA
Source: RNAcentral